Molecule: ribosomal RNA, 240 nt
Filed under: uncultured Lactobacillus sp.
Lineage: Bacteria; Bacillati; Bacillota; Bacilli; Lactobacillales; Lactobacillaceae
Description: partial 16S ribosomal RNA
Rfam family: Bacterial small subunit ribosomal RNA
Source: RNAcentral
AACCCUGCCCCAUAGUCUGGGAUACCACUUGGAAACAGGUGCUAAUACCGGAUAAGAAAGCGGAUCGCAUGAUCAGCUUUUAAAAGGCGGCGUAAGCUGUCGCUAUGGGAUGGCCCCGCGGUGCAUUAGCUAGUUGGUAAGGUAAAGGCUUACCAAGGCGAUGAUGCAUAGCCGAGUUGAGAGACUGAUCGGCCACAUUGGGACUGAGACACGGCCCAAACUCCUACGGGAGGCAGCAGU